UGCAAGUCGAACGAAGUAGCAAUACUUAGUGGCAGACGGGUGAGUAACAUGUAGGUAUCUGCCCUUUGGCCUGGAAUAACACGGGGAAACUUGUGCUAAUACCGGAUAAGUCUUUACGGAGAAAGCUUUAUGCACCAUUGGAUGAGCCUGCACUUGAUUAGUUUGUUGGUGGGGUAAUGGCCUACCAAGACUGUGAUCAAUAGCUGAUUUGAGAGGAUGAUCAGCCACAUUGGGACUGAGACACGGCCCAAACUCCUACGGGAGGCAGCAGUGGGGAAUCUUGCACAAUGGAGGAAACUCUGAUGCAGCGAUGCCGCGUGAGUGAAGAAGGCCCUUGGGUUGUAAAGCUCUUUCGUCGGGGAAGAAAAUGACUGUACCCGAAUAAGAAGGUCCGGCUAACUUCGUGCCAGCAGCCGCGGUAAUACGAAGGGACCUAGCGUAGUUCGGAAUUACUGGGCUUAAAGAGUUCGUAGGUGGUUGAAAAAGUUGGUGGUGAAAUCCCAGAGCUUAACUCUGGAACUGCCAUCAAAACUUUUCAGCUAGAGUAUGAUAGAGGAAAGCAGAAUUUCUAGUGUAGAGGUGAAAUUCGUAGAUAUUAGAAAGAAUACCAAUUGCGAAGGCAGCUUUCUGGAUCAUUACUGACACUGAGGAACGAAAGCAUGGGUAGCGAAGAGGAUUAGAUACUCUCGUAGUCCAUGCCGUACACGAUGUGUGUUAGACGUUGGAAAUUUAUUUUCAGUGUCGCAGCGAAAGCGAUAAACACACCGCCUGGGGAGUACGACCGCAAGGUUAAAACUCAAAUGAAUUGACGGGGACCCGCACAAGUAGUGGAGCAUGUGGUUUAAUUCGAAGAUACGCGCAGAACCUUACCAACACUUGACAUGUUCGUCGCGACUCUAAGAGAUUAGAGUUUUCGGUUCGGCCGGACGA
This 930-nucleotide ribosomal RNA is filed under the name uncultured marine bacterium. RNAcentral describes it as "bacterial SSU rRNA". It matches the Rfam family "Bacterial small subunit ribosomal RNA", at positions 56 to 1030 of the family's 1533-position model. The record is from RNAcentral.